Molecule: small RNA, 1132 nt
Filed under: Pan troglodytes (chimpanzee)
Lineage: Eukaryota; Metazoa; Chordata; Mammalia; Primates; Hominidae
Description: processed transcript
Source: RNAcentral
GGACCCCGAGCUGCUGUCGGUGAUCCGACAGAAGGAGAAGGAUCUGGUGUUGGCGGCCCGGCUGGGUAAGGCGCUGCUCGAGAGGAACCAGGACAUGAGCCGGCAGUACGAGCAGAUGCAUAAGGAGCUGACAGACAAGCUCGAGACAAGAUCUCACUCUAUCCCCCAGGCUGCAGUGGAGUGGCUGAUCAUGGCUUACUGCACCCUCAAGUGACCCUCCUACUCAGCCUCCUGAGUAGCUGGGACUACAGGCGCCUACUACACACCUGGCUAAUUUUGUAAAAAUGUUUUGUAGAGAUGGGGUCUCACUAUGUUGCCAAGGCUGGUCUCAAACUACGGGGCUCAAGCAGUCCUCCUGCCCUGGCCUUCCAAAAUGGUGGGAUUACAGGAGUGAACCAUUGAGCCUGGCCUGUAUUUUCAAUUAAAUCAAACACUUGGGAGUAUAAAACCAGUACUUUAAGACGCAUUUAUUCAUGAGAGAACUUGACCAGAAAAAAAAAAUUUUAUAAUCUUCCACAAACUGUCGGACAUUUGGAGUCAAACACAUUUUCUUACAGGGUGGUUUGAAAGAGAAACAUGUGAGUGGACUGAGGGAAUGCCACUUUCACUAUUGAAUAAUGAGACUGGUUUUAUUUUAAUCCCAUCUUCUCUACUACUUCAAAAUUGGCACCUUUCUUCCACCCCCCCACCCUGCCCCCCAGAUGGAGUCUCGCUCUGUUGCCCAGUCUGGAGUGCAGUGGCGCAAUCUCAGCUCACUGCAAGCUCCACCUCCCAGGUUCAUGACAUUCUCCUGCCUCAGCCUCCUGAGCAGCUGGGACUACAGGCGCCCGCCACCACGCCUGGCUAAUUUUUUUUUUUUGUAUUUUUAGUAGAGACGGGGUUUCACCAUGUUAGCCAAGAUGUUCUCGAGCUCCUGACCUCGUGAUCCGCCUGCCUCGGCCUCCCAAAGUGCUGGGAUUACAGGCAUGAGCCACUGCGCUGGGCCGGCACCUUUCUAAUGUCGGGACAAACAAGGCAUUUUCAAGAUCUUUUCUACCUAUUCAUUAGUUAAUACUAAAUACCUCUCUGGUUCUGUGUGCCAAGCCCAAGAUUUUGUUGUUUUCAUUUCAAACAUUAAAGUACUUGAUGCUAC